This 301-nucleotide ribosomal RNA is filed under the name uncultured bacterium. Its description in RNAcentral is "partial 16S ribosomal RNA". It matches the Rfam family "Bacterial small subunit ribosomal RNA", at positions 509 to 809 of the family's 1533-position model. The record is from RNAcentral.
CAGUCGCCGCGGUAAUACGGAGGGUGCAAGCGUUAAUCGGAAUUACUGGGCGUAAAGCGCACGCAGGCGGUCUGUCAAGUCGGAUGUGAAAUCCCCGGGCUCAACCUGGGAACUGCAUUCGAAACUGGCAGGCUAGAGUCUUGUAGAGGGGGGUAGAAUUCCAGGUGUAGCGGUGAAAUGCGUAGAGAUCUGGAGGAAUACCGGUGGCGAAGGCGGCCCCCUGGACAAAGACUGACGCUCAGGUGCGAAAGCGUGGGGAGCAAACAGGAUUAGAUACCCCUGUAGUCCCUGUCUCUUAUAA